GACGAACGCUGGCGGCGUGCUUAACACAUGCAAGUCGAACGGAAAGGCCUGCUUUCCCUUGUGGAUUGCGGGUACUCGAGUGGCGAACGGGUGAGUAACACGUGAGUGAUCUGCCCCCAACUUGGGUAUAAGCCUGGGAAACUGGGUCUAAUUCCCGAUAGGACUGCAGGGUGGUGCCUGUGGUGGAAAACGAUUUUCUAGUGGUUGGGGAUGAGCUCGCGGCCUAUCAGCUUGUUGGUGGGGUAAUGGCCUACCAAGGCGGCGACGGGUAGCCGGCCUGAGAGGGUGGACGGCCACAUUGGGACUGAGAUACGGCCCAGACUCCUACGGGAGGCAGCAGUGGGGAAUAUAGCACAAUGGGCGGAAGCCUGAUGCAGCGACGCCGCGUGGGGGAUGACGGCCUUCGGGUUGUAAACUCCUUUCGACCGCGAGGAAGCCACCUGGUUGGAAGGGUGGUGACGGUAGUGGUAGAAGAAGCACCGGCUAACUACGU
RNAcentral lists this ribosomal RNA (493 nucleotides) under uncultured bacterium. RNAcentral's name for it is "partial 16S ribosomal RNA". It matches the Rfam family "Bacterial small subunit ribosomal RNA", at positions 28 to 506 of the family's 1533-position model. The record is from RNAcentral.